Molecule: ribosomal RNA, 527 nt
Filed under: uncultured bacterium
Lineage: Bacteria
Description: bacterial SSU rRNA
Rfam family: Bacterial small subunit ribosomal RNA
Source: RNAcentral
AGUGGGGAAUAUUGGGCAAUGGGCGCAAGCCUGACCCAGCGACGCCGCGUGCGGGAAGACGGCCUUAGGGUUGUAAACCGCUGUUGUACGGGAAGAAGGAAUUGACGGUACCGUACGAGUAAGGUCCGGCUAACUACGUGCCAGCAGCCGCGGUAAUACGUAGGGACCGAGCGUUAUCCGGAAUUACUGGGCGUAAAGGGCACGCAGGCGGUCAUGCAAGUCAGCUGUUAAAUGUGGGGGCUUAACCCUUACGAGCGGUUGAAACUGUGUGACUUGAGUACUGGAGAGGUAAGCGGAAUUCCCGGUGUAGCGGUGAAAUGCGUAGAUAUCGGGAAGAACACCAGUGGCGAAGGCGGCUUACUGGCCAGUAACUGACGCUGAGGCGCGAAAGCCAGGGUAGCGAACCGGAUUAGAUACCCGGGUAGUCCUGGCCGUAAACGCCGAAUGCUAGGUGUGGGUGGGUAGAACCAUCCGUGCCGGAGUUAACGCGAUAAGCAUUCCGCCUGGGGAUUACGACCGCAAGGUUG